Molecule: long non-coding RNA, 472 nt
Filed under: Canis lupus familiaris (dog)
Lineage: Eukaryota; Metazoa; Chordata; Mammalia; Carnivora; Canidae
Description: lncRNA (ENSCAFG00845003451.1)
Source: RNAcentral
UUUUGGAGAGCACACCAUGUCUAUAUUUACCGUGAAACAUUAAAGACACGAGUGGAAGAAUUUGACCUCUUGUAAUCUGAAUCCGAAUCUAAGUGUCAAGCAACCUUGGACACAUAUUUUUCUGUCUCUGUGGUUUGGAUCCCACACUCUGCAGAGAGAUGUGAUGCCCUGAGUAAAGAAGAAAGCUCCCUGCCACUGCACCUGCCCAGAGGGAUGCCCCUGUGUGUGUCAGCACUUCUCCCCACCAGCUAAUUCAGGGAGCCAAUGAGGGUUGCCAAGGCGCUCCUCACUCAGCCUCACCCCUGCCCCCUGCAUCCACAACCACGUCUCCGUGACCGGCCUUAGGCCUUGGAAUUGGCCACAGAGAGGAGUCUGUACGAGGUCAGCCGUCAAGGGAAGCCAGGUGGGAGGAAGAAGAGACAAAGUCAAAGAGGCUUCCUCGGAUGAUGGGGGCCUGACUCUGCUUGGGUAA